CCUACGGGCGGCAGCAGUGAGGAAUAUUGGUCAAUGGACGAGCGUCUGAACCAGCCAAGUAGCGUGAAGGAUGACUGCCCUAUGGGUUGUAAACUUCUUUUAUAUGGGAAUAAAACGUUCCACGUGUGGGAUUUUGUAUGUACCAUAUGAAUAAGGAUCGGCUAACUCCGUGCCAGCAGCCGCGGUAAUACGGAGGAUCCGAGCGUUAUCCGGAUUUAUUGGGUUUAAAGGGAGCGUAGGUAGAUUGUUAAGUCAGUUGUGAAAGUUUGCGGCUCAACCGUAAAAUUGCAGUUGAAACUGGCAGUCUUGAGUACAGUAGAGGUGGGCGGAAGUCGUGGUGUAGCGGUGAAAUGCUUAGAUAUCACGAAGAACUCCGAUUGCGAAGGCAGUUCACUGGACUGCAACUGACACUGAGGCUCGAAAGUGUGGGUAUCAAACAGGAUUAGAUACCCUUGUAGUC
This 460-nucleotide ribosomal RNA is filed under the name uncultured bacterium. Its description in RNAcentral is "partial 16S ribosomal RNA". It matches the Rfam family "Bacterial small subunit ribosomal RNA", at positions 338 to 795 of the family's 1533-position model. The record is from RNAcentral.